This 515-nucleotide ribosomal RNA is filed under the name uncultured bacterium. Its description in RNAcentral is "bacterial SSU rRNA". It matches the Rfam family "Bacterial small subunit ribosomal RNA", at positions 29 to 518 of the family's 1533-position model. The record is from RNAcentral.
AACGAACGCUGGCGGCGUGCUUAACACAUGCAAGUCGAACGCGAAAGGGACUUCGGUCCUGAGUAAAGUGGCGCACGGGUGAGUAACGCGUAGAUAACCUGUCUUCAUGUCUGGAAUAAUACGCCGAAAGGGGUACUAAUACCGGAUAUUCUUGCUUUUCAUAAGUUAUGCAAGCAAAGGUGGCCUCUGCAUAUGCUACUGCAUGAAGAGGGGUCUGCGUACCAUUAGCUAGUAGGUGGGGUAAUGGCCUACCUAGGCGACGAUGGUUAGCGGGUCUGAGAGGAUGAUCCGCCACACUGGCACUGGAACACGGGCCAGACUCCUACGGGAGGCAGCAGUGAGGAAUAUUGCGCAAUGGGGGAAACCCUGACGCAGCGACGCCGCGUGAGUGAGGAAGGCCUUCGGGUCGUAAAGCUCUGUCAAGAGGAAAGAAGUGUACAAUGGCUAAUACCUGUUGUAUUUGACGGUACCUCUAAAGGAAGCCCCCCACCGGCUAACUCCGUGCCAGCCGCGGC